ACACACACACACACACACUAUAUUUGUCGGGUUAGGGAUUGUUUAGAAGUUCAAAACUCAUAAACAGACAAUAAAUUUUGUUCAUAAUGUAUUAAGGUAAAACAACCCAAUGUGUUCAAAAUUUUGAUAUACAUGGUCAUCUUAAUUCUUUUUCUUUCGCCUGGUUCUUAAAUGGUCAAUUUCAUAGGAGUCUUUAAAUUAGUACACAUUAUUUUCUCAUAGCUUGAUUACAAGAACUCAAACACAAGUUUAUGUGUCCAAGUGUUUGUUAAGCAUCUUGUCAUAGCUGGAAUUCUUUUUUUUGUUACUUUUUCCACGACUAAAGUAAAAGUCUGUCUUAUAACUCAAGUUUUGUUCCCUAGUUAACCCUUACACUUUCAAACUAUACUAUGUUGCUCCCAACUUUUAGGCAUAGCAUAUUUACAAGGAGAAACUGCAACAAAAUUUUACGUUUCCUAUUAUUUACUAAGCAUCCUUUUUCAAUUGAGAUUCUUUUUUUGCUACAUUUUCCUGUUGUAAAAUACAAAUCAGUCUUAAAACAUAAUUUUUGUUCCGGAGUUAAUCCUUGAAAAAUAUAGUGUUGCUCCUGAAGUUUUCUAGUAUAGAUAUGGGCAGGUUAAGAAUGUAAGUAAUUGUUGAAAGACACUGAUAUUUGAGAGAAUUUUUUUGUGUAUUUCCUGAUGAUAAAAAAUGAUAUACAAGGCUCGUUUUUAUUUAUAAAGACUCAUACCUCAAUAGGAAACUAAAAAAUAAGAAGCCAAUUACAAGGAGCUAAUUACAAUAGGAAAAUACA
This 793-nucleotide unclassified non-coding RNA is filed under the name Hevea brasiliensis (rubber tree). The record is from RNAcentral. Lineage: Eukaryota; Viridiplantae; Streptophyta; Magnoliopsida; Malpighiales; Euphorbiaceae.